This 254-nucleotide ribosomal RNA is filed under the name uncultured bacterium. RNAcentral's name for it is "partial 16S ribosomal RNA". It matches the Rfam family "Bacterial small subunit ribosomal RNA", at positions 524 to 776 of the family's 1533-position model. The record is from RNAcentral.
UACGGAGGGAGCUAGCGUUGUUCGGAAUUACUGGGCGUAAAGCGCACGUAGGCGGUGUGUCGCGUCGGCCGUGAAAACCUGCAGCUUAACUGUGGGCUUGCGGUCGAUACGGGCAUCACUGGAGUUCGGCAGGGGAGACUGGAAUUCCUGGUGUAGCGGUGAAAUGCGCAGAUAUCAGGAGGAACACCGGUGGCGAAGGCGGGUCUCUGGGCAGUAACUGACGCUGAGGAGCGAAAGCGUGGGGAGCGAACAGG